AUGUAUUCAGCAAACUGUUCAUUCUUACAGUGUUACAGAAAUUUAAACAGUCUUAAGUAUGGAAAACUUAUGAACACCCCUUUGAAAGCAUACACCUUGCCCCAGUUUCUGCUGCAACCAAAGGAGACUCCAACUCUCCAAUUCCAAUUUUGCAGGCACUUCGCAGAAUUGCUUUUUUCCACGAUAAUGAGCAAGAACGGGGUCCUGGAGCCCUCUGGUGGAUGUCUUGCAGAAGACAGGCAGCUGAAAGCGGCUGAGACUUUGGUUCUGUUCUUUGUGAUAUCACUAGUUGUGGCAAUCGCACUUCUCGGUGCCUUCAUUUCCUUACCCAUGACAUGGAUAUAGAGUAUUUAAUCUCCUCUGGAAAAAUAUUUGAAAUCCAUGGUAGAAGACUGAUAAAUGUGAGUAAAAUACCACUCUGUGAUUAUGGUUUUGUUAUUCCAUGUUUUCUAUCUUGCUUUUCCG
This 465-nucleotide long non-coding RNA is filed under the name Anas platyrhynchos platyrhynchos (common mallard). RNAcentral's name for it is "lncRNA (ENSAPLG00000030153.1)". Lineage: Eukaryota; Metazoa; Chordata; Aves; Anseriformes; Anatidae. The record is from RNAcentral.